UCGUCAGCUCGUGUCGUGAGAUGUUGGGUUAAGUCCCGCAACGAGCGCAACCCCUAUUGUUAGUUGCCAUCAUUCAGUUGGGCACUCUAGCGAGACUGCCGGUAAUAAACCGGAGGAAGGUGGGGAUGACGUCAAAUCAUCAUGCCCCUUAUGACCUGGGCUACACACGUGCUACAAUGGUUGGUACAACGAGUUGCGAGUCGGUGACGGCGAGCUAAUCUCUUAAAGCCAAUCUCAGUUCGGAUUGUAGGCUGCAACUCGCCUACAUGAAGUCGGAAUCGCUAGUAAUCGCGGAUCAGCACGCCGCGGUGAAUACGUUCCCGGGCCUU
This 329-nucleotide ribosomal RNA is filed under the name uncultured Streptococcus sp. RNAcentral describes it as "bacterial SSU rRNA". It matches the Rfam family "Bacterial small subunit ribosomal RNA", at positions 1052 to 1382 of the family's 1533-position model. Lineage: Bacteria; Bacillati; Bacillota; Bacilli; Lactobacillales; Streptococcaceae. The record is from RNAcentral.